Molecule: ribosomal RNA, 237 nt
Filed under: uncultured Lactobacillus sp.
Lineage: Bacteria; Bacillati; Bacillota; Bacilli; Lactobacillales; Lactobacillaceae
Description: partial 16S ribosomal RNA
Rfam family: Bacterial small subunit ribosomal RNA
Source: RNAcentral
CCUGCCCAAGAGAUCGGGAUAACACCUGGAAACAGAUGCUAAUACCGGAUAAUAACAGAUGAUGCCUAUCAACUGUUUAAAAGAUGGUUCUGCUAUCACUCUUGGAUGGACCUGCGGUGCAUUAGCUAGUUGGUAGGGUAACGGCCUACCAAGGCGAUGAUGCAUAGCCGAGUUGAGAGACUGAUCGGCCACAUUGGGACUGAGACACGGCCCAAACUCCUACGGGAGGCAGCAGCA